RNAcentral lists this ribosomal RNA (464 nucleotides) under uncultured bacterium. RNAcentral's name for it is "partial 16S ribosomal RNA". It matches the Rfam family "Bacterial small subunit ribosomal RNA", at positions 338 to 795 of the family's 1533-position model. The record is from RNAcentral.
CCUAGGGCCGCUCCAGUGGGGAAUAUUGCACAAUGGGCGCAAGCCUGAUGCAGCCAUGCCGCGUGUAUGAAGAAGGCCUUCGGGUUGUAAAGUACUUUCAGCGGGGAGGAAGGGAGUAAAGUUAAUACCUUUGCUCAUUGACGUUACCCGCAGAAGAAGCACCGGCUAACUCCGUGCCAGCAGCCGCGGUAAUACGGAGGGUGCAAGCGUUAAUCGGAAUUACUGGGCGUAAAGCGCACGCAGGCGGUUUGUUAAGUCAGAUGUGAAAUCCCCGGGCUCAACCUGGGAACUGCAUCUGAUACUGGCAAGCUUGAGUCUCGUAGAGGGGGGUAGAAUUCCAGGUGUAGCGGUGAAAUGCGUAGAGAUCUGGAGGAAUACCGGUGGCGAAGGCGGCCCCCUGGACGAAGACUGACGCUCAGGUGCGAAAGCGUGGGGAGCAAACAGGAUUAGAUACCCCGGUAGUC